GCGUCCACAAAGGAUUAUGGGUAAAAAUAAUAAAACGUGAAAGACGAGACGAAGAUGAGAAUGCAGUCACGUUAGGUUAGUUUAAUUUCAGUUGGAGGAAACGGUCCAGAAAGUGUCAGUCUGCCACAACCACAGCUAUUAAAUUACUUCAUAGGAAGCACGUAAAGUUAGAAAAGUUAACCUGUGACCUAGUGGCCUGACCCGAACAAGGGCCGGAGGGCGAGUGCGCUGCACAUGUGAAUGCUAUCAGGCCUCCGCCUGGAAAGUGCAUGAAAGGGAAGCCACCAGGGCAUUACAGCUGGCAGGAAAUCGUAAAAAGUCGUACUUCAGCUCUAACAAAUGCUCCCAUGCACGCUUAAUCUUCUAGUAAGCCUGUGAAUGGAAGUGUUUAAAUGUUUCCCCUGAUGACACGGCGAGAAUGUACAACUGGCUUUAUGAGACGAAGUUCCUGGCAGAAAAUGUUUGACUAAGAAGACGUGGACAAAUUCAUUUCAUAACCCUCCAGAAUAUUAAUACAGGCCGAUCUCUCAUUUGACAAGUUAAUCUCUUUAAGGAGAUUUCUGAUCAAAGAAAAUGUGAUUAAAGUCUUCUGCAUCACAUGCCA
This is a long non-coding RNA of Betta splendens (Siamese fighting fish), 604 nucleotides long. RefSeq lists it as uncharacterized. NCBI's taxonomy places the organism in Eukaryota, Metazoa, Chordata, Actinopteri, Anabantiformes, Osphronemidae. The transcript has 3 exons. The record is from RefSeq and is a predicted model, not a curated record.